AAAUUUGAGAGGGUAAAUUUUUAUUUUCUACCCUCUCAGCUUAAAAAAAGGGGAGCCACACAAUUCUUUGAAAAAUAAAAAUAUAUACACACCAACACACACAUCAACACAUACAACAAAAAAUCCGACUCUCUCUCUCUUUUCCUCUCUAUUAACGCCCUUUCUCUCCCUUCUCUACAUCACUGCCGCCAUCAGAAUAUGCCACCGAUGGCCGACAACCAAUAAAUCCACCAACAUCACACUCUUCUUCCUCUUCUCCUCUAUUCCCUCACCGCUGCCUGCUCACUGGAGGUGAUGAUCGGCAAGGCCGAUGCACUGUCGCCGCUGCUGCUCCCCUUUCCACUGCUUCUUCACCAAAUAUGACGACUAGUGAAGUCUCCAACCAUCACCAGCACCUUUCAGCUGUCACACCUCCACCGAAAACCACCAGAUCUGACUACCAACGCCGCCCUCUUCCUCUUUUUUUCCCUUUUACAGUAGCCUCUCGUCGGAGGUAGUGAUCGGCAAGCCUUGGUCGAUGCUGCCUCAUUGAAAAAAGGAUAGAUCUGGCUGUAUCUUGUAGAUAUUCGGCCCAGCGUCUCGAUGUUAAAGUGACACCACUGCUUUAUCUUAUUCUUUUGCAUCAUAACAUCAAAAAUUGAGGAGUUUACCGGUGAUAUUUGCCUGAAAACGCCGAAUCUUACCAAAACUAGAUUUUUCAUUGCCUUGUUGUCAAUAUCUUGAUCUCUUUUAGACAAUUUCAUGUCUUCGCUUGAAAUUUCACUCAAAAUAACCCGUUAUAAUCUAGAUUAGCAUUUGAUUGGAAUUUUUUUUGUCAUUUUUUGUGCCUUAGGUUCAUUAAAAAGAAUCAAACAUUCCGUCCAUUUGUUGAAAAUUUGUGAAAUAGUAAGGUACUUUUGAUAAUUCAAGAUGAAAAUAUUGUGAGAUAGCUAAAUAUUGUUGUCAAGUACUAAAUGCAUUGUGAAUAGACCGAUCUAAAUAUUUUGUUUAUUUUGCUUAAAACUGAUUAUUGAAUUUUUAUUAUAUUUUAUCAAAUUAUACAGUAGAUUUUGUCUUAAAGUAGUGAUCAUAUAAGAAUAUUUCCUAGUUCAAAGUAUUUUACUUACUAAAAUAGUAACAACCAUUUUUUGUUUCGGAUAUUCUUUAAUAUUUUACUUUUGACUUUUACUAAGAAGAACUUCUAUUUAUAAUGAUUUUU
Molecule: long non-coding RNA, 1198 nt
Filed under: Capsicum annuum
Lineage: Eukaryota; Viridiplantae; Streptophyta; Magnoliopsida; Solanales; Solanaceae
Description: long non-coding RNA (CANN_LNC012522)
Source: RNAcentral